This 497-nucleotide ribosomal RNA is filed under the name uncultured bacterium. RNAcentral's name for it is "partial 16S ribosomal RNA". It matches the Rfam family "Bacterial small subunit ribosomal RNA", at positions 28 to 507 of the family's 1533-position model. The record is from RNAcentral.
GAUGAACGGUGGCGGCGUGCCUAAUACAUGCAAGUCGAGCGAACGGACGAGAAGCUUGCUUCUCUGAUGUUAGCGGCGGACGGGUGAGUAACACGUGGAUAACCUACCUAUAAGACUGGGAUAACUUCGGGAAACCGGAGCUAAUACCGGAUAAUAUUUUGAACCGCAUGGUUCAAAAGUGAAAGACGGUCUUGCUGUCACUUAUAGAUGGAUCCGCGCUGCAUUAGCUAGUUGGUAAGGUAACGGCUUACCAAGGCAACGAUGCAUAGCCGACCUGAGAGGGUGAUCGGCCACACUGGAACUGAGACACGGUCCAGACUCCUACGGGAGGCAGCAGUAGGGAAUCUUCCGCAAUGGGCGAAAGCCUGACGGAGCAACGCCGCGUGAGUGAUGAAGGUCUUCGGAUCGUAAAACUCUGUUAUUAGGGAAGAACAUAUGUGUAAGUAACUGUGCACAUCUUGACGGUACCUAAUCAGAAAGCCACGGCUAACUACGUG